GAGAAGCCGUCCGCAACAAGAAAUUCAACUUUAUUGAUUGAAUGGUUUUUAAAGACAAACGGAAAAGAAAAAUUACGACGAAGCAAAGGUACAAGAUCGGAGGUCUCAGACCUCAGGGGCGGGGGGUGGAGAACUCGGCGGGGGGGCUGCGACAGCAGUGGCGGUUGACGAGGGAUCGGCCUCGUCUUCAGACUCCUCGCCUAGGAAGCUGAGGUCGAGCUCUGGAAAUUUUCUGGCCACCUUCUCUUGGCAGAGCUCGAACCCCUUAAUG
This 271-nucleotide long non-coding RNA is filed under the name Elaeis guineensis (African oil palm). Its description in RNAcentral is "long non-coding RNA (EGUI_LNC001186)". The record is from RNAcentral. Lineage: Eukaryota; Viridiplantae; Streptophyta; Magnoliopsida; Arecales; Arecaceae.